GCCACUGCCACAGCCACCACCACACCCCGCAGCUCCUAAGACCGCUCUGCCCGGGCACUUUCCAGGUGUGCGAGCUUGCGUCAUCUUCACUGAGCCUGAAGAAACCGACUGGGCAAUUUCUGGAUUAUAAGGGCUUCCCACUUAUCAGCCCCAGACCAUCUGGGUGCCCAGACGAGGCAUCUGCUGGUAGCCCAGCCUGUGUAUGUCCUGAAACCCACAACAGCUUCAUCAGGCUCUAACUCAAAGUGGCCUCGGUCGCGUCACCUGAAACGGAAGCUGGUAGUGCCUACCUCAUUGGAAUAACAAGAUUAUAAAUGGAGACUCAGCUCCUGAAGUCAUAGUAUUAUAACGGAUGCUGCAAAGAAAAUUUACCUGUGUGGGUUUCAAGAAACAGACAAGGCUCCCAGAAAGGAAGAUUUUAUUUCUAAAUACACUUUCUCCUUGUCCGCUGGGUCUGUGACAUGUCUGUAGGCGUGCCGGGGGAGCAAUAUUUUGAACAUACCCAAAUCUAGACUGUCCUGGUCUUCAGGUUCAUUCAGUUCCACCACCGGGCUUUUCACACGCUGGAAAAGAUAAAGUCAGGUGGGUUUUUUACAAGUUACUUGAUAACACAAAUGUUUAUUUUUGUAAAUGAAAAAACAACCUAUGAAAACAUCAGUAAAGACAUGUUACAUGUGUCACCACAUGUAAACAGAAAACUAAUCUUGUACUUAAUAUUAAGAGCUAGAACUAAGGGAAGGCUCUGUUCCAACAUGCCUAAAAGCUAUCCAUAGGUGAUUAUAUAUUCAGAGACUAUCUUCCAGGUUCAUUCUUGCAAUGGCAUUGUCGGCAAACAUCUGUAGAUAUCAUCUUCAAGUACAAAGUUUUGGAAGAGGUAUACAGUCAUCUUGCAUAUACAACUACAACCCAGAAAGACAUCAAGAGUAGAGAUCGAAUAUUCGAUAAAGGAAGCAAUUUCCAGUUCUUCUGAAUGUGCCCUGGGACAUAUCCCUGAGGGUUUUUUGCUUUGGGUUUUUUCCUAUGUUUAUUACUGCUAGGUCUUCACUUCUACUUCAACUCUGGUGAGAAGCACAAAGAUGAAAACGGGCAGGGAAUCAUUACCUUUACGUUCUCCUUCCCAGGCGAUGAUCUGCUGGACGCUGAAUUCUUAACCUCUGCAAAAAGGAUAAUUCUCAUCAGGAUCUGCUGAUAGGAACUUCCAUUUGAAAAAAAAAAAAAAAAGGAAGAAGAAGAAAAAGGGGGAAAAAAAAACUAGAUGAUAAAUAUAAAUGAGUUACUUAGAGCUGUCUGUGUGGAGCUAGGUUUUAGAAAAGGCUUCUUAAAAACCAACUCUCCGAAGAGCAGAGUAUCUGAUAACCUGUCAGCCCACACUCUGGUAUUAUUUGUGUGGACCAAGAUGUAAACAAGCCCAGGAGCUCUCACAGGAAAUCCUGAGGAAGAAAAUGACUGUUAACUAAACAAAUGCCCCUGAUUCAGAAGGAAGGCUGUGCACUGACCGAAGCCUCUUCAAAACAGCACAGAUUCUAAGGACGUGACUCGUACCCACCUGAGGAAAUCCCACACGUCUCUUCCCUCAAGUGCCACCGAUUUCAUAUGUUUCAAAAGAGCCUAAUUCAUUCUAGAGGAGGUCUGGCCUUUCCGUGCCCAUCGUUUAACAUCAAGAACAUCAGCACAGCCCUUGGGCUGGGACCUCAGACAGCACCAGGCUCUGCCCAAACCAGCCCCAGGCACGCUGCCAGUGCUUCUCUCUGAAUAGAGGCUUUCCUGGAAGCAUCAGUGGUCAUGAUGUUCUGGGAUGAACAGGAAGGCCCACUUAAGGUGUAUUUUUCUCUGUGUCUUAAUUGAUUUGUUCUUUUCCCAAAUACUCAGUUGCCCAUAAACAAGAGGCACUGUUGUUGAAAUAACCACCAAAAUAGGUUUGGGCCUGAGGAAAACAGAAGUGUUGGGCACUCCUAACAAGGGCAGUUGGAUGGAGAGCUUUAUCCUGAAUUUGUAUUAAUACACAACACGGUGGGCCCAGGCCCUCCUCUCGACCCCUCGGCUUCCCUGCCCCCCAGGCCCUGCUGGAUGCCAGUUCUGGGGAGCCCCUAGUUUUCCCAGCAGGUGCAUUAACUAGGCAUUCCCGCCACCACUUCGCCACUCCUAUUGAUGCAAGUCACCGGACGCCUCAAACCUCCAAGCGGAUUUAUUCAAGCUCUUCUUUCUGCCUGGCAACAAUGCCAGUUUUCAUCCAUGUUUCUGCUUCGCAAUAGUAUAAGGUUUUCAUGUAGGUGACUUUCCACCACAAAUCUUAACAAGGUAAGGAUGGAGCAGAGAAGUCAACAAAGUCAUGAUGUAUUUUUUUAAAAUUUGCAUAACAAUAACUUUGAAUUUGCUUUACAUCAAGUUAAUAAGGUAUCUACACUCCACGAAAGUAUAUUGCUCCUGAAUAUUAGCAUGUUAGCUUCUAUGAUGAAAAAUGAAAGGGUAACAGCCUCCAUGUCAAGUGGUCAUGGCAACAGACCUCCACAGGGAGUAAGGACAAGGCUGAGCUGACACCCAGCCCGGGCAGCUUUUGUUCCUCAGCACGCCCUCCUCCCUGUACAUGCAAACCCCACACAAGGCCUUCAGGUGGCAGCAGAGUACCAUCUGCAGAACAACACAGCCCAUGAUGGGAAUGUCAAAAUGAGACAACUUCACCCUGCAAAGGCCUGCUGUGGGAGAUCAACCUGAUGAUGGGUGAUGACCUAGAGCGGUGGGAGGGAGGCUCAAGAGGGAGGGGAUAUGGAGAUAUAUGUA
Hippopotamus amphibius kiboko is the source of this 2778-nucleotide long non-coding RNA. RefSeq lists it as uncharacterized. The transcript is spliced from 3 exons. The record is from RefSeq and is a predicted model, not a curated record. NCBI's taxonomy places the organism in Eukaryota, Metazoa, Chordata, Mammalia, Artiodactyla, Hippopotamidae.